This 253-nucleotide ribosomal RNA is filed under the name uncultured bacterium. Its description in RNAcentral is "partial 16S ribosomal RNA". It matches the Rfam family "Bacterial small subunit ribosomal RNA", at positions 524 to 776 of the family's 1533-position model. The record is from RNAcentral.
GACGAAGGAUGCAAGCGUUAUCCGGAUUCAUUGGGUUUAAAGGGUGCGUAGGCGGCCAGAUAAGUCAGUGGUGAAAGCCCGGAGCUCAACUUCGGAACUGCCAUUGAUACUGAUAGACUUGAGUACAGAUGAAGUGGGCGGAAUGUGACAAGUAGCGGUGAAAUGCUUAGAUAUGUCACAGAACACCGAUUGCGAAGGCAGCUCACUAAAGUGUAACUGACGCUGAGGCACGAAAGCGUGGGGAUCAAACAGG